Molecule: non-coding RNA, 202 nt
Organism: Paramuricea clavata
Lineage: Eukaryota; Metazoa; Cnidaria; Anthozoa; Malacalcyonacea; Plexauridae
Source: the annotation of a GenBank genome assembly
ACUGUACAGUAAGAGCAUUCAAUGUUAAUAAGUUACAGAGUGCAAAAUAAUUCUCAAACUGGGUCGGACAAUAUGUCAGGUCAACUCAUGUUGUGACCAGACGAUGAUAUCAGCCAGUGACUAAUUAACCCUUUAAGUGGCAGUGCGCCCUGAUGUACCCUACUUAAUUUAUUAAUUUACUCUGUUUAACACCAGACAAUUU